Long non-coding RNA from Dama dama (fallow deer), 1815 nucleotides. RefSeq lists it as uncharacterized. The transcript has 4 exons. Lineage: Eukaryota; Metazoa; Chordata; Mammalia; Artiodactyla; Cervidae. The record is from RefSeq and is a predicted model, not a curated record.
GGGGAGUUGACUUGAUGCAGCUGGCUGUGGUUGUAGAUCUCAAGUUACAGUUAGUUCUCUGCUCGUCCCAACUAAACCCAUCUUUGCUGGAGCAGUAUCUGGGGGUUCCUUUCAGGUCAACAAGAGGUGAAGGAGCUGCUGCUGCUGCUGCUAAGUCACUUCAGUCGUGUCUGACUCUAUGCGACCCCAUAGACGGCAGCCCACCAGGCUCCUAAAGAGCAGCUGUGGGAGACCAGCCUUCCCUGCGGCUCAGGAGCCGAGCAGGUUUGAAACCAUGUACCCCAGUUCCUUCUACGGAGGAAGAACCAAAUACACAGCUACGAGAUACGGAGUCACGAGGGCAGGUGCUAUGUACAAAGCUGCCUCCUCCGCGCCCAUUGGAAGGACUGAAGCUGAAGCUCCAAUACUUUGGCCACCUGAUGCGAAGAGCCAACUCAUUGGGAAAGACCCUGACACUGGGAGAGGUUGAGGGCAGAAGGAGAAGGGAACAACAGAGGAUGAGAUGGUUGGAUGGCAUCACGGACUCAGUGGACAUGAGCCUGAGCAAACUCUGGGAGCCAGUGAAGGACAAGGAAACCUGGUGUGCUGCAGUCCAUGGGGUUGCAAAGAGUCGGGCAUGACUUACCGAAUGAACAACAGCAACCCUGCUCUGUGGGUUUCCGACUAUUUGGUCUUACUGUUUGUUGCAUGGCCCUAAUACACACACACUCGUGUCUUUCCAGGCCUGAUGCUCAGCUGCCUUUCUGGGAUUUGCUCUCCUCACCUUCCUGGGUUAGUUCCAGGCUCUUGGAUCCCACAUUGUUCUUGUCCCUGGACUCCUCUUUCACUCCGUUCUAAUAUUUUCUCCUCGAGUACUAGUUAUUUCGAAAAAGGUGCACUGAAGAUGGUUUAUAUUCGGAGUGUUCUGAUAACUGCAGGUUGGGUGGUUUUAUCUUGCACUGGCUGCUAAUGGAAUUUGGACCCCAAAUAAUUUUCCGUCCGAGUGUUGAGUGUAUUUCUCUACUUCCAGUGCUGACGAUAAAUAUUCUAAUUCAAAAACAGUUCUCACUCCUUUAUGGGUCGAUUUUCCCCACUCUAGAAGCUUCUUGAAUCUUCUUUGUAUGUUUCUGACAUUCUAAAAUUUUAGCAAAACAUAUCUGGGUUUUCUCUUUAUUCUAAUUCUAUAUACUUGUCAAUUGGCAAAGUCUUUCAGUCUGAAAUUCUCCCUAGCUCUGAGAAGUUUUCCUCUAGCAUUUGUUUGAUAGACCUGUUUCUUCUACUUCAAGUCUUUCUAGAGCUUCUGUCACUAAAAUGGAUACACCCCUGUGUGGAUGUGUGUGCAUGUUCAGUCAUAUCCGACUCUUUGUGAUUCCCAUGGACUGUAGCCUGCCAGGCUCCUCUGUCCAUAGGAUUCUCCAGGCAAGAGUGUUCCAAAGAUGAAGGAACUGUAUUUCAAGAUGGUAAUUCCUGAAGCAGCAGGAGACAGAAUUAUCACCACUGCAAGAGAAGAUUUAGGGACGGCAGAAGAAUGAAAGUGGCAGAUCUCAUGGGGACUCAGCGAAAUGAUAGAGCUGGAAGAGCUUAUAACCCAACGAUGCCACUUGAUUCAUAGAAACUGGCAGAAAUUCACUAGUGUUUCUAAUUUCUCCUUGUUUCCAAAACCACCUUGCUGGGCACCUUACCGGAGUGUUUUUUGACACUGAAACCAGGACACUGAACAGAUAAUAAGACAGACUUACCUUUUCCACAGCUUUUGCGUUAAUUAACGGGCCUUGAGUAGUUCUCUCUUCAAAUCCAUUACCCACAUGCAGGUUUGUUUUAAUUGCCUCAGCAAAU